UCGUGGUGUAACGGUAGCACACUCGACGCGUAUUCGAGAAGUUCGGGUUCGAGUCCCGGCGA
RNAcentral lists this transfer RNA (62 nucleotides) under Stegodyphus mimosarum. It matches the Rfam family "tRNA", at positions 5 to 66 of the family's 71-position model. Rfam says of the family: Transfer RNA (tRNA) molecules are approximately 80 nucleotides in length. Their secondary structure includes four short double-helical elements and three loops (D, anti-codon, and T loops). The record is from Rfam by way of RNAcentral. Lineage: Eukaryota; Metazoa; Arthropoda; Arachnida; Araneae; Eresidae.